UGAGAUGUUGGGUUAAGUCCCGCAACGAGCGCAACCCUUGCUCAUAGUUGCCAGCGGUUCGGCCGGGCACUCUAUGGGGACUGCCGGUGAUAAACCGGAGGAAGGUGGGGAUGACGUCAAGUCCUCAUGGCCUUUAUGUCCAGGGCUACACACGUGCUACAAUGGACGGUACAAAGAGUUGCGAUCCCGCGAGGGGGAGCUAAUCUCAAAAAGCCGUUCUCAGUUCGGAUUACAGUCUGCAACUCGACUGUAUGAAGCUGGAAUCGCUAGUAAUCGCGGAUCAGCAUGCCGCGGUGAAUACGUUCCCGGGCCUU
This 314-nucleotide ribosomal RNA is filed under the name uncultured Holophagae bacterium. Its description in RNAcentral is "bacterial SSU rRNA". It matches the Rfam family "Bacterial small subunit ribosomal RNA", at positions 1068 to 1382 of the family's 1533-position model. The record is from RNAcentral. Lineage: Bacteria; Pseudomonadati; Acidobacteriota; Holophagae.